This 450-nucleotide ribosomal RNA is filed under the name uncultured bacterium. RNAcentral describes it as "partial 16S ribosomal RNA". It matches the Rfam family "Bacterial small subunit ribosomal RNA", at positions 338 to 795 of the family's 1533-position model. The record is from RNAcentral.
CCUACGGGCGGCUGCAGUAGGGAAUAUUGGACAAUGGAGGAAACUCUGAUCCAGCCAUCCCGCGUGAAGGAUUAAGGUCCUAUGGAUUGUAAACUUCUUUUCUUUGGGAAUAAAAUCUCCGAUUCCUCGGAGCUUGAAGGUACCAGGGGAAUAAGCACCGGCUAACUCCGUGCCAGCAGCCGCGGUAAUACGGAGGGUGCAAGCGUUAUCCGGUUUCACUGGUUUUAAGGGGUGCGUGUAUGUUUGUGGAGAAAGCCUACAGCUUAACUGUAGAAUUGCCAUUGAUACUGCUUAACGUGAAUCAAGUCGAGGUGGAUGGAAUAGAUCAUGUAGCGGUGAAAUGCUUAGAUAUGAUUUAGAACACCAAUUGCGAAGGCAGUUCACUAGGCUUGUAUUGACACUGAGGCACGAAAGCGUGGGGAUCAAACAGGAUUAGAUACCCCAGUAGUC